Molecule: long non-coding RNA, 1140 nt
Filed under: Struthio camelus australis
Lineage: Eukaryota; Metazoa; Chordata; Aves; Struthioniformes; Struthionidae
Description: lncRNA (ENSSCUG00000004393.1)
Source: RNAcentral
AUGUGUUUGUUUACAGUAAAUGGCACUGUACAGUGUAUGUUCUAUCUAAAAACAACAACAACAACAACAACAACAACAACAGUGGCUGUGCAGCACAGGGAGAAGUACCAAAGUAGGUCACCGGAUAUUUUAUUUUCCAUCUUCACCUACUGCAAUAUUUUUCAUGCACAUUUUGAAUCUACUUCUCCUUAAACUCCUUGGUGAUUUAAUGAAAUUCAUGUGUCUUUGAUUUAUUUCUGGAAUCCUGGCCUAAAACAUAUUUUCUAUCCCCUCUUUGAUGUUUUACUUUAACAGAAUGUGCUUUAGAUGGACUAUUCUUAAAUGGCACCCUCUGUGGAGAGUCUAUGCCUUUCAGUAAGUACAUUUUAAACUCCAUCUUAAUAGCACACUCUAAUAUUCACCUUUAAUGUCACCCUGCUUAUCACAUCAAAGCAAUGUUUGUCCGUGGUGCUUCACUGACGUAUAAUGAAGAAUAUAUCUGACAAACAUCAGAUGAUUUGCAUGUGAGUACGCUUCUGCGUGGUUUCUCCUGAAACUAAACCAUUUUUGAAACAGAAUUCACUCUGUUUCUUUAGGAAUAAGGAAAGUUGCUUCAUAGCUGAAAUAGCAAGUGCUCUGACCAAAUUUCUAGCAUGAGGAUUACACUUAUUUUUAGCAGCUCCACACAGCACAUGGAGGGGAGACGCCCUCCCAGCUCCUUCAUGGUCCUCACAAACCCUGGCGAGACUUUAGCACCUCUGGAACCGGGUGCCGGCAGGUGAACCAGCCUGGCGAGGUAGCGCUGCUUCUCCAUCACAGGUCACCCAGGCCUCUGUACAGCUGCGUGCGACAUCGCCAUGCUCUGCGGUGAGGUCUCAUAAUUUCUGACUAAUGGGAAGGUCAGAUAUUUCAAAUCAGAAUCUCACUGGAGAUGACUAAGUGUUUCCACAGCUUAUGCAGCUCUCAACAGUCUGCUGUCACCGUCAUUCAGGCCACUGCAGCCCUCAGGACUUGUUCUGAAAUAGCCUCUUCCCCAGGAUAGGACCUCCCCAGUUGAAGAGUUCAGAGUGCGGAGGCAAGGGCAGAUCGCCGAGCGCUGCCCCGAAGGCCCCUUCAGGCCUAAUUUGUCUAACAUUGUUUUGCUUGCGCUUCAUGCUGCAA